RNAcentral lists this long non-coding RNA (1481 nucleotides) under Equus caballus (horse). RNAcentral describes it as "lncRNA (ENSECAG00000056633.1)". The record is from RNAcentral. Lineage: Eukaryota; Metazoa; Chordata; Mammalia; Perissodactyla; Equidae.
UUAAUAGUGACGGCUCUUUGGGCCGUACACUGGGUUGCCCCCCUCUGGCAGAGGCCUCCGCAUUAUAGAAGGUGGACCUCAGCACUGUGGCCCACACACUGGCUAGCACCAUCCUAGACGUGACCAGGGAAACUGUGUCCAUGACGCAUAUGUUAGUUACCACGGACGGUAAUGAAUCCACGUGUGCGUGUGUCUGUGAGUGCAGAAGAACCUGCACUGGGUAAGUGCACACUGCUAGAAUUUUACAGAAGAGUCAGGCCAUCAUCAGCCACCUGGAAAGCAAAAAAAAACAUUGCCACAAAUACAAACUGCCAGUAAUGAAUAAUUGAGUUUCCUAUCUUACCUUAUCCAAACUAGCAUCAUUCCAUAUUAAAUGUCAUGGUAUCAAGAUUUUGGGAUCCUAGCAGGCACUUCACGUAUGUGCACCAAAGGAUGUAAAGAGCUUUCCUCGGAGGUCCAGGACGAGGGGGAAAGGGGAGUGAAGUGUCUUGUAACACUGGGUUGAUCUUUUUAAGCAUUCAGCCCACCGAAACCAUCACCCUGGAAGGACUGGUAAUUGGGCAGCAUGUCCGUAUGCAGAGGCACCUCUGGGCUUCAGAAGCGAAGCCUGUACCUCCAGGAGGGAACUUUGCAGAACUUCCCACGCUUAUCAGUCAUCGCACUCCUCCCAUUUGGUGCAGAUUCAGAGCUCCCCAUGGUCCCCUAGUUCUGAGAUACCCGGCUCAACUUAGACGGGGCAUCUCCUGGACCCAUGAUUCAUAGUCAGUGUCCCCGGAGGAGAAGCCCAACAAAGGCAGAAUUUCCACGUUCCCGAUAAAAGGGGCCACAUCCCCUCUGGGCAGCAGCCUCCUGGGGAGACCCCGAGAAACAAGCAGCUGUGGGUGAUUUAAAAUUUCUCGCUGCUCGGUCAGAGAUGUGAACACAAAUGUCCAUUAUCCGGAGGAUAGAUUGCUCCUUUGCAGAUGCCCAAAGAAUUUUCCAUCUGGCAUUUUCAGCGGCAUUAUCUUUCUUCUUCACUUGUAGGGGUAUGAACAAUCUCCACGGUCCAGCACCAUCGUUCCCAGGAAGGCUGUUACAGCCAGAGAUCAAAGGAAAGGCUUUUGAGUCUGGAUAACCAGGCAUGAAUCAAAGCAAGUCCUGGGCAGGGCAAAGAAGGGGAUUUCUAGACGGAGCAGAGAGAGCUUAGUCACUGGAGCGCCCCCAAGAUGGAGCCUGCACCCCGGACACCCCACAAAGGUCUGAGGGCACUGUGUCCUGGGCCCUGCAGGGACAUAGGAAAUCUGAAUAGUGAGUCUAGAUCCAGUUCAGCGUCCACCCUCCCUUCUCCACACCUCAGUGCAGGAGGAAGCAACUGAGUGAUUCUCACGGGCUGCAGCAAAGGACCAGAGCAGCCCACCCAGUACCCGAGUACCCACAGUCCACCGUGGUAUGGAACAGCAGAAAGAGACCCUCGAAUAGGCGUGACAGAAGAAGACCUGACG